RNAcentral lists this transfer RNA (66 nucleotides) under Eysarcoris annamita. Its description in RNAcentral is "tRNA-Ala". It matches the Rfam family "tRNA". Rfam says of the family: Transfer RNA (tRNA) molecules are approximately 80 nucleotides in length. Lineage: Eukaryota; Metazoa; Arthropoda; Insecta; Hemiptera; Pentatomidae. The record is from RNAcentral.
GGGGCUGUAGUUUAAACAAUAACAUUUAAUUUGCAAUUAAAAGUUACCUUAUAAAGGUCUACCUCA